This 253-nucleotide ribosomal RNA is filed under the name uncultured bacterium. Its description in RNAcentral is "partial 16S ribosomal RNA". It matches the Rfam family "Bacterial small subunit ribosomal RNA", at positions 524 to 776 of the family's 1533-position model. The record is from RNAcentral.
UACAGAGGUCUCAAGCGUUGUUCGGAUUCAUUGGGCGUAAAGGGUGUGUAGGUGGCGCCGUAAGUCAGGUGUGAAAUUUCGGAGCUUAACUCCGAAACUGCAUUUGAUACUGCGGUGCUUGAGGACUGGAGAGGAGACUGGAAUUUACGGUGUAGCAGUGAAAUGCGUAGAGAUCGUAAGGAAGACCAGUGGCGAAGGCGGGUCUCUGGACAGUUCCUGACACUGAGGCACGAAGGCCAGGGGAGCAAACGGG